AAGACCAUUUGAGAUUAAACAUAUACAAAUAAUUUUUCUUUCAAAAUGUAAAAAUCCAUUAAUAUGAAAACAUACGGUAUAUGUUUCAUGAAACAAAGCAGAAAAUGUAAUUACUUAUAAAUAAUCUUUAGUUUGAUUCUAUUCUCAUCAUAGCCUACAUUCUCCAUUGUAACUCUUGAAAAUGGAAACCUGCUUUUCCAGUAUCCAUGUAAAGGAAAGGCAAUGAAGAGGUCGUCUAAUUCCAACUCCACUGGCAGCUACAACUGUCUCCAGCUAGAGACUCAGAGGGAGUCAGGAGAAUCAUUUAUUAGAGUAAAUAUUCGAUGUGUAGUGUCAUAAACUAAUCAAUACUAUAUUAGCUGCUGCUAACCAUCCCAGCUCUAUUAUCUGUGAAAUGGGCUGGCAUGAUAUUGGACCCAGGGGAAACGGGAGGAAAGCCUCUGGUCAAAGGAUGCUUUCUUUUACUCUACAGAGAGAUGUAAAAUGCAUAUAAAUGAAUGUUUAAAUAUUUGAUUUAAGCAUUUGGUUUUAUUGGUUUGAAAAUACUAUGUGUUUUAUUAUAUCAGUAAGAAAUCUUUUCAAAGAAAGAUUAUGGAAAGCCUUUUCAGCAUGUGUGAUCCCCCCAAAAAAGAUGCUUGUAUUGUUUUUUUUUUCAGUCAUUCCCAACAAUUAAUACUACUGAGUCCUAAUGAAGAGGAUUAUAAAAUGUUCCCUUACUUGUGACCACUUCAAAUCAGAAGGCAGUAAAAACAUCCAAACAUUCCAAGCAAAUAACAGGCUAAAUAAAGAUGCUAUUAACAAUACUACAACUAUAGUUAAUAACAUACUGCAUGCUUGAAAAUCACUAAAAGAGUAGAAUUGAAGUGUUCUCACCACAAAAAAGUAAGUAUACGAGCUAACACAUAUGUUAAUUAGCUAGGUUUAGCCAUUCCACA
RNAcentral lists this long non-coding RNA (935 nucleotides) under Macaca mulatta (Rhesus monkey). Its description in RNAcentral is "lncRNA (ENSMMUG00000052652.1)". The record is from RNAcentral. Lineage: Eukaryota; Metazoa; Chordata; Mammalia; Primates; Cercopithecidae.